Molecule: transfer RNA, 73 nt
Filed under: Ovis aries (sheep)
Lineage: Eukaryota; Metazoa; Chordata; Mammalia; Artiodactyla; Bovidae
Rfam family: tRNA
About the family: Transfer RNA (tRNA) molecules are approximately 80 nucleotides in length. Their secondary structure includes four short double-helical elements and three loops (D, anti-codon, and T loops). Further hydrogen bonds mediate the characteristic L-shaped molecular structure. tRNAs have two regions of fundamental functional importance: the anti-codon, which is responsible for specific mRNA codon recognition, and the 3' end, to which the tRNAs corresponding amino acid is attached (by aminoacyl-tRNA synthetases). tRNAs cope with the degeneracy of the genetic code in two manners: having more than one tRNA (with a specific anti-codon) for a particular amino acid; and 'wobble' base-pairing, i.e. permitting non-standard base-pairing at the 3rd anti-codon position.
Source: Rfam by way of RNAcentral
UCCUUGGUGGUCUAGUGGUCAAGACUUUGCGCUUCCAUUGCAGGAGGUAUAGGUUUGAUCCCUGGUCAGGGAA